RNAcentral lists this ribosomal RNA (490 nucleotides) under uncultured bacterium. Its description in RNAcentral is "partial 16S ribosomal RNA". It matches the Rfam family "Bacterial small subunit ribosomal RNA", at positions 29 to 507 of the family's 1533-position model. The record is from RNAcentral.
AGUGAACGCUGGCGGUAGGCCUAACACAUGCAAGUCGAACGGCAGCACAGGAGAGCUUGCCCUCUGGGUGGCGAGUGGCGGACGGGUGAGGAAUACAUCGGAAUCUGCCCAGUCGUGGGGGAUAACGUAGGGAAACUUACGCUAAUACCGCAUACGACCUUCGGGUGAAAGAGGGGGAUCGCAAGACCUCUCGCGAUUGGAUGAGCCGAUGUCGGAUUAGCUAGUUGGCGGGGUAAUGGCCCACCAAGGCGACGAUCCGUAGCUGGUCUGAGAGGAUGAUAAGCCACACUGGAACUGAGACACGGUCCAGACUCCUACGGGAGGCAGCAGUGGGGAAUAUUGGACAAUGGGCGCAAGCCUGAUCCAGCCAUACCGCGUGGGUGAAGAAGGCCUUCGGGUUGUAAAGCCCUUUUGUUGGGAAAGAAAUCUUUCAGGCUAAUACCCUGGGAGGAUGACGGUACCCAAAGAAUAAGCACCGGCUAACUUCGUG